UACGUAGGGUGCAAGCGUUGUCCGGAAUUAUUGGGCGUAAAGAGCUCGUAGGCGGUUUGUCGCGUCUGCCGUGAAAACCCGAGGCUUAACCUCGUGGCUUGCGGUGGAUACGGGCAGACUAGAGGUAGGUAGGGGAGAAUGGAAUUCCCGGUGUAGCGGUGAAAUGCGCAGAUAUCAGGAGGAACACCCGUGGCGAAGGCGGCUCUCUGGGACGGUACUGACGCUGAGACGCGAAAGCGUGGGGAGCGAACAGG
Molecule: ribosomal RNA, 254 nt
Filed under: uncultured bacterium
Lineage: Bacteria
Description: partial 16S ribosomal RNA
Rfam family: Bacterial small subunit ribosomal RNA
Source: RNAcentral